Esox lucius (northern pike) is the source of this 830-nucleotide long non-coding RNA. Lineage: Eukaryota; Metazoa; Chordata; Actinopteri; Esociformes; Esocidae. The record is from Ensembl.
GUGACUGGCUGCCACGGCUGUCUGUGAGCGAGCUCAGCGGUUGGUGAUGCAGGGAGAGCAGAUUAUGAAGCGGAUCUCACCAGCGGCAGUCUACUCUCAUUGUCUCAAUGGCUGCGCACGCGUUCCUUCUGCUCUCUUCUGCCUUGCUGUCUGCCUUCAGCCAGCCCACCCUGUCCUUCGAUCAAGUGCCUACUCUCCUGGACAGAAGCACAGAAGAGGACUACAUUACAGAUGUCCCCUACCCAGCUGUGAGAAUCAGAGCAGGUGGUCUUGAUGGAAUGAGCUUGGAGACUGAGGGUUAUGUCCCCACUAAAGAAAGCCCACUCAAAAGAUUCCUGAAGCCGCAUGGCUGGCACCACCUCAACCAGCAUGGCCAUGGAAAAGGCAAGAGAAAGCUGCUCCAGUCUCCCAUCCUCGGGCCCUACUCCCCUCUAAGCGUGGCCUACAAUGGUAAGACCUGCAUCCUGUUCAAAGCCAAGCGCUUGGCAGUCCGCUACAAGAAUCAUACCUUUAUAGACUUGACGGAGAAGACCUUUGGACCCAAUGCCCCUGUGGACACGAAGGGAUCCAUCUGCACCAAGGAGAAGGCUACGUAAGUAGACUACUGAAGAUAAUGUACUUCAUUUGUAUAUUGUGCGCAAGUUAAUUUGACAUUCCUUGUUUUGUUAAAUCACAACUUUCUGGGUAGAAUGCCAUAGAAUACCUUUAAUUACCAGCAUCGAGAUAUCAAUUAUUCAUAGAACAAGAGUCAUAGAACAAGCAUACACAAUGUCGUGAAUGCACAAGAUUCUAAGGCAAAAAUAUAAUAUAUCAAUAUCUUUCCUUUCCAC